UACGUAGGGUGCAAGCGUUGUCCGGAAUUAUUGGGCGUAAAGAGCUCGUAGGCGGUCUGUCGCGUCUGCUGUGAAAACCUGGGGCUUAACCCCGGGCCUGCAGUGGGUACGGGCAGACUAGAGUGCGGUAGGGGAGACUGGAAUUCCUGGUGUAGCGGUGAAAUGCGCAGAUAUCAGGAGGAACACCGGUGGCGAAGGCGGGUCUCUGGGCCGUAACUGACACUCAGGGACGAAAGCUAGGGGAGCGAAUGGG
Molecule: ribosomal RNA, 253 nt
Filed under: uncultured bacterium
Lineage: Bacteria
Description: partial 16S ribosomal RNA
Rfam family: Bacterial small subunit ribosomal RNA
Source: RNAcentral